Long non-coding RNA from Sapajus apella (tufted capuchin), 260 nucleotides. RefSeq lists it as uncharacterized. Lineage: Eukaryota; Metazoa; Chordata; Mammalia; Primates; Cebidae. The record is from RefSeq and is a predicted model, not a curated record. The transcript has 3 exons.
CACGCUGGGAAAUGUGGUUUCCGGGUUGUCCAUGCAGGCUAACGGAACGGACACAAGGUGGCGCCCAAACGUCGCGGUCGAUGUGGCAGGAGGAAGAUGAGUCUUGGGGCCCAAAAUAUGCCAUAGAGCGGGCAUUACUGUCCAGAAGACAUCUUCACUUUUGGAACAGGCUUGGUCUUGUCCAGGUCUGUAUCAAGACACCUGGGAAUUGUGAGGAAAUUGCUGGGAGGAAUGAGCAGCUACCCUCCAUGGCCAGCUAA